GAAAAUCAGUUUGUGAUUGCAUUGUGGAUGCCAAUCUUAGCAUUCUCAACUUGGUUAUUGUAAAAAAGGGAGAGAAAGAUAUUCCUGGACAGACUGAUACUACGGUGCCUCCAGUAUGUUGUAAGAAAGCCCUUAAACAAAGAAGGUAAGAAACCUAGGACCAAAGCACCCAAGAUUCAGCAUCUUGUUACUCCACAUGAGGAAGAGGCUGCAGAAUACACUAAACUUUUGGCCAAGAGCAUGAAGGAGGCUAAAGAGAAGCCCC
RNAcentral lists this long non-coding RNA (265 nucleotides) under Homo sapiens (human). Its description in RNAcentral is "non-protein coding lnc-ZCCHC6-1:1". Lineage: Eukaryota; Metazoa; Chordata; Mammalia; Primates; Hominidae. The record is from RNAcentral.